CAGCCGCCGCGGUAACACGGAGGGUGCAAGCGUUAUCCGGAUUUAUUGGGUUUAAAGGGUCCGUAGGCGGAUCUGUAAGUCAGUGGUGAAAUCUCACAGCUUAACUGUGAAACUGCCAUUGAUACUGCAGGUCUUGAGUAAAUUUGAAGUGGCUGGAAUAAGUAGUGUAGCGGUGAAAUGCAUAGAUAUUACUUAGAACACCAAUUGCGAAGGCAGGUCACUAAGAUUUAACUGACGCUGAUGGACGAAAGCGUGGGGAGCGAACAGGAUUAGAUACCCCAGUAGUCCCUGUCUCUUAUAC
This 301-nucleotide ribosomal RNA is filed under the name uncultured bacterium. RNAcentral's name for it is "partial 16S ribosomal RNA". It matches the Rfam family "Bacterial small subunit ribosomal RNA", at positions 509 to 807 of the family's 1533-position model. The record is from RNAcentral.